GGGUAGAACGUCUACAAUCAGUCAAAAACAAAAUGUGAAGAGAAGAAUAUUAGCUGAAAUGUUGGACUUCAGACUUUCAAAAAAUGUCUAAAAGAAGAGGAUCUAUCAGUCUAAAGUAUGCACGAUUACACGCAAAGGCCGCGUUAGUUUUCUCAAUUUGUUUUACAUUGCAUUGGUAAUUUCGUUUUUUUUGGGUUUUUUUUUACAGUUGACCACGCGUAUAUGCGGUAUGGGUUUUACUCAUUGUUAAAGACCUAAAGUUGUUAAACUCUAUGUCGUUUACUCUCUAGAUAAUCUUCUUAUUAUUUUAUUU
This 313-nucleotide long non-coding RNA is filed under the name Mytilus galloprovincialis (Mediterranean mussel). Lineage: Eukaryota; Metazoa; Mollusca; Bivalvia; Mytilida; Mytilidae. The record is from RNAcentral.